RNAcentral lists this long non-coding RNA (225 nucleotides) under Elaeis guineensis (African oil palm). RNAcentral describes it as "long non-coding RNA (EGUI_LNC047074)". Lineage: Eukaryota; Viridiplantae; Streptophyta; Magnoliopsida; Arecales; Arecaceae. The record is from RNAcentral.
CAACGGCAGACGGCAUGGAGUAGUUCGACCUGCUGGUUCAGCAGGUCAGAGCCCUCACCGAAGUGGUGCAGGCCAUGUAGCAGCAGCAGCAGUCGCAAGCAUCUGUGCGGCUGGAAAGAGUAUCGUCAGAGUUUCAGAAUCUGAUGAUCGGGCGGCCCACUUGGGCCAGUCACCCUGUGUUCUCCAGAAAGGAGAAGUAGAGGGUGGAGAGUCCUCUGUCUGAUC